UUAAUCGGGGCAGGGUGAGUCGACCCCUAAGGCGAGGCCGAAAGGCGUAGUCGAUGGGAAACAGGUUAAUAUUCCUGUACUUGGUGUUACUGCGAAGGGGGGACGGAGAAGGCUAUGUUGGCCGGGCGACGGUUGUCCCGGUUUAAGCGUGUAGGCUGGUUUUCCAGGCAAAUCCGGAAAAUCAAGGCUGAGGCGUGAUGACGAGGCACUACGGUGCUGAAGCAACAAAUGCCCUGCUUCCAGGAAAAGCCUCUAAGCAUCAGGUAACAUCAAAUCGUACCCCAAACCGACACAGGUGGUCAGGUAGAGAAUACCAAGGCGCUUGAGAGAACUCGGGUGAAGGAACUAGGCAAAAUGGUGCCGUAACUUCGGGAGAAGGCACGCUGAUAUGUAGGUGAAGUCCCUCGCGGAUGGAGCUGAAAUCAGUCGAAGAUACCAGCUGGCUGCAACUGUUUAUUAAAAACACAGCACUGUGCAAACACGAAAGUGGACGUAUACGGUGUGACGCCUGCCCGGUGC
RNAcentral lists this ribosomal RNA (519 nucleotides) under Escherichia coli. RNAcentral's name for it is "partial 23S ribosomal RNA". It matches the Rfam family "Bacterial large subunit ribosomal RNA", at positions 1365 to 1869 of the family's 2925-position model. Lineage: Bacteria; Pseudomonadati; Pseudomonadota; Gammaproteobacteria; Enterobacterales; Enterobacteriaceae. The record is from RNAcentral.